CUAACUAAGGAUAAUAUGCUUAAAUGACGCAUAGGUAAAGGCAAAGCAUGCAUUUUCUAUGCUUGUGAGGAAAGCAUUCAUCACCUGUUCUUUGACUGUGUGCUUUCCUCAACUAUCUGGCUCAUUAUGCAAAGUUUCUUUAAUAAACCAGUAGGCAUCAAUUAUGAAUCAGUAGCAAUAUUGUGGGUUUCUACCAAGAAACAUCUAGUCAUCAACACUAUUAAAGCUGCUAUCCUUUGGUGCAACUGGAAAUUUACAAACAACAUGAUUUUUGACAAUCUUUCUUGGAUUGAUAUCAAAGAGAUAUGGUGGCGGAUUCUGAGAACACUUGGAUACUGGGUGAUCUUGAUUCCAACAAAGGAGAAAGAGCAUAUGGGAGCUUUCCUAGGCCAUUUACUGGAGUUCCUCAAGCAACCGUUGUUAAUCAAUUGUGGCUGA
This 438-nucleotide ribosomal RNA is filed under the name Triticum aestivum (bread wheat). Its description in RNAcentral is "partial small subunit ribosomal RNA". The record is from RNAcentral. Lineage: Eukaryota; Viridiplantae; Streptophyta; Magnoliopsida; Poales; Poaceae.